CCUACGGGUGGCAGCAGUGAGGAAUAUUGGUCAAUGGACGAGCGUCUGAACCAGCCAAGUAGCGUGAAGGAUGACUGCCCUAUGGGUUGUAAACUUCUUUUAUAUGGGAAUAAAAUGUUCCACGUGUGGGAUUUUGUAUGUACCAUAUGAAUAAGGAUCGGCUAACUCCGUGCCAGCAGCCGCGGUAAUACGGAGGAUCCGAGCGUUAUCCGAAUUUAUUGGGUUUAAAGGGAGCGUAGGUGGAUUGUUAAGUCAGUUGUGAAAGUUUGCGGCUCAACCGUAAAAUUGCAGUUGAAACUGGCAGUCUUGAGUACAGUAGAGGUGGGCGGAAUUCGUGGUGUAGCGGUGAAAUGCUUAGAUAUCACGAAGAACUCCGAUUGCGAAGGCAGUUCACUGGACUGCAACUGACACUGAGGCUCGAAAGUGUGGGUAUCAAACAGGAUUAGAUACCCCAGUAGUC
This 460-nucleotide ribosomal RNA is filed under the name uncultured bacterium. RNAcentral's name for it is "partial 16S ribosomal RNA". It matches the Rfam family "Bacterial small subunit ribosomal RNA", at positions 338 to 795 of the family's 1533-position model. The record is from RNAcentral.